RNAcentral lists this unclassified non-coding RNA (247 nucleotides) under air metagenome. Its description in RNAcentral is "partial contains small subunit ribosomal RNA, internal transcribed spacer 1, and 5.8S ribosomal RNA". The stretch from base 1 to 46 matches the Rfam family "Eukaryotic small subunit ribosomal RNA", at positions 1786 to 1831 of the family's 1831-position model. The record is from RNAcentral.
AAGUCGUAACAAGGUUUCCGUAGGUGAACCUGCGGAAGGAUCAUUAAUGAAAAUUAACAGGAGUUGUUGCUGGUCUUUCGAGACAUUUGUGCACGCUUCCUUUUUCAUCCACCUCACACCUGUGCACAUGAUCGAAGGGAAUGUAACAGUUCCCUUCGUUUUUAAUACACUCCAUAAGAACUGUUAGAACGAAAUUGUUAUUUGUAACAAAUCUUAACAACUUUCAACAACGGAUCUCUUGGCUCUC